UCUGAUUAGCUUGUUGGCGGGGUAACGGCCCACCAAGGCGACGAUCAGUAGGGGUUCUGAGAGGAAGGUCCCCCACAUUGGAACUGAGACACGGUCCAAACUCCUACGGGAGGCAGCAGUGAGGAAUAUUGGUCAAUGGGCGAGAGCCUGAACCAGCCAAGUAGCGUGCAGGAUGACGGCCCUAUGGGUUGUAAACUGCUUUUAUAAGGGAAUAAAGUGAGUCUCGUGAGACUUUUUGCAUGUACCUUAUGAAUAAGGACCGGCUAAUUCCGUGCCAGCAGCCGCGGUAAUACGGAAGGUCCGGGCGUUAUCCGGAUUUAUUGGGUUUAAAGGGAGCGUAGGCCGGAGAUUAAGCGUGUUGUGAAAUGUAGACGCUCAACGUCUGCACUGCAGCGCGAACUGGUUUCCUUGAGUACGCACAAAGUGGGCGGAAUUCGUGGUGUAGCGGUGAAAUGCUUAGAUAUCACGAAGAACUCCGAUUGCGAAGGCAGCUCACUGGAGCGCAACUGACGCUGAAGCUCGAAAGUGCGGGUAUCGAACAGGAUUAGAUACCCUGGUAGUCCGCACGGUAAACGAUGGAUGCCCGCUGUUGGUCUGAAUAGGUCAGCGGCCAAGCGAAAGCAUUAAGCAUCCCACCUGGGGAGUAC
This 647-nucleotide ribosomal RNA is filed under the name uncultured bacterium. RNAcentral describes it as "bacterial SSU rRNA". It matches the Rfam family "Bacterial small subunit ribosomal RNA", at positions 236 to 883 of the family's 1533-position model. The record is from RNAcentral.